This 297-nucleotide long non-coding RNA is filed under the name Salmo trutta (river trout). RNAcentral's name for it is "lncRNA (ENSSTUG00000049360.1)". Lineage: Eukaryota; Metazoa; Chordata; Actinopteri; Salmoniformes; Salmonidae. The record is from RNAcentral.
ACUCUUGAAAAUGAACUGGCCAAUGAGAAGAUGAAAUAUGACUCAAAGACCAAGGAGCUCCAGGAUGCUUUGGAGCAGUCCAAUGAGGAGAUGGCAGAGAAAGACUUCCUCCUAACAGAGAAGGAGAUUAAUCUGAAGGAGCUGGAAGCUGCCGUAAAGACAUUCAACUGCACACUGCAGGAAAAAGAUCAAUUGCUACAGGAGGGCCAUGUGUGCACAUGCCCUGACAUGACCACUGGUCACCAUCAGGAAUCAGUGUUACAGCAGCAGGUUGAAGAGGUGAAGGAGAAUUCUGAG